GGGUGAUGGGAGAAUUGGUAAAUCCGCUCGAUGCGCAUCAAAAAACAGGAAAGAGAGACGCUGGUUCGAUUCCAGCUCACCCCCCA
RNAcentral lists this transfer RNA (86 nucleotides) under Bacteroidales bacterium. RNAcentral's name for it is "tRNA-OTHER". It matches the Rfam family "tRNA". Rfam says of the family: Transfer RNA (tRNA) molecules are approximately 80 nucleotides in length. Their secondary structure includes four short double-helical elements and three loops (D, anti-codon, and T loops). Further hydrogen bonds mediate the characteristic L-shaped molecular structure. tRNAs have two regions of fundamental functional importance: the anti-codon, which is responsible for specific mRNA codon recognition, and the 3' end, to which the tRNAs corresponding amino acid is attached (by aminoacyl-tRNA synthetases). tRNAs cope with the degeneracy of the genetic code in two manners: having more than one tRNA (with a specific anti-codon) for a particular amino acid; and 'wobble' base-pairing, i.e. permitting non-standard base-pairing at the 3rd anti-codon position. Lineage: Bacteria; Pseudomonadati; Bacteroidota; Bacteroidia; Bacteroidales. The record is from RNAcentral.